Molecule: unclassified non-coding RNA, 4667 nt
Filed under: Amphibalanus amphitrite
Lineage: Eukaryota; Metazoa; Arthropoda; Thecostraca; Balanomorpha; Balanidae
Description: 3-hydroxy-3-methylglutaryl-coenzyme A reductase-like, transcript variant X4
Source: RNAcentral
ACCGGCUCGGUACAGUUAUCCCGACAGCGGCGGCGCUCGGCGGCGAGAACACUCGGCGUCCGGCCUCCCCGGCGCUCCGUCCGUCCGUCCGCGGCUCGAGAGCCGACCCGGCCGCCCUGCCGUGCCCACCGCUCGUCCCAGCCACCUCGGUGAAAGGCGCCCAGGUGUGAUCAGCCAUGGCGCUGUCGUCGUAUUUCCGUCGUCACGGUCAGAUGUGCGCCUCCCACCAGUGGGAGGUGAUUGUCAGCAUCAUCACCUUCACCGUGUGCAUGCUGACCGUCAACGACCGGCGCGCGGCUCUGCACUGGCCCGACCGGGCACCCUGCAAAAUACCCCAGGAGUAUUUCGGUGCUGACGCCGUCGUGAUGACGGCUGUACGCUGUAUCGCCCUGCUCUACACUUACCACCAGUUCCGGAAGCUGCGCGCGCUCGGCUCCAAGUACAUCCUCGGCCUGGCGGGACUUUUCACGGUCAUCUCCACUGCCGUGUUCACAUCGAGCAUCAUCAACUUCAUGCACAGUGACAUGACAGACCUCAAGGACGCGCUGUUCUUUUUCCUGCUGCUGAUCGACCUCUCCAAGGUGACGCGCCUGGCGCAGUACGCGCUCGCCUCGCGACGCCUGGACGAGGUCGAGGUCAACAUUGCGCGCGGGAUGCAGGUGCUGGGGCCUCAGAUGACGCUCGACGUGCUGGUCGAGGUGCUGCUCAUCAGUGUCGGCACCCUCUCAGGCGUGUACCGUCUGGAGGUGCUCUGCUGCUACGCCUGUAUGUCUGCCGUCAUCAGCUACCUCAUGUUCAUGACCUUCUACCCGGCCUGCCUCUCGCUCGUCCUCGAGAUGUCCAGCGACGUCGGCUCGGAGACGCAGCCGUGGCAGCUCAAGUCGCUGACCAACCUGCUGCAGGAGGACGAACAAAAGCCCAACAUCGUCAUCCAGCGCGUCAAGAUCAUCAUGUCCAUCGGCCUGACGUUCGUCCACUUUGUCAGCCGGUGGCCGAGCGUGUCCACUGACGCGGUGGACUCUGUGUUCGGCGCCGCCGCCGGUCCCGGUAGCUGUGACGCGCCCAUCCCUAGUCCGUACAGCGUGCUGCUCAGGUGGAUGAGUGUCAGCGCCGAGCACCUGGUGGUGCUCAUUAUCGUGGUGGCGCUGGUGGUCAAAUACGUGCUGUUCGAGGCGCCGGACGCCGAGCAGAUCCAGCUCAAGGUCCAGGCAGAGGACCAGGCCAUGCUUCGCGCGCUGCGUCCGCAGCUGCGCCGACGCUGCACCUCUGUCCUCAUCACCGAGGACUCUGACGGGGAGGUCAAGGUGGACGAGCUGCCGCCGCCGGCCGCCUCCUCUGACGCCAGCUGCCAGACCCCCGCGUUCACCGGCGCCGAAUCCGCCGCCGAGUCCGCUGCGGAGUCCGCUGCGGAGGAGGGUACCGCGGCGGCGGCCGGCGGAGAGCGGGAAUCGGAGGGAGAGGAGCCAGCCGAGCCGGCGCCGCCCCGGACUCUGGACGAGUGCGUCCAGAUACUUGAGGACGAGGGUCCGGACGCGCUCUCAGACGCCGAGCUGCUGGUGCUGCUGCGCGCGCGCAAACUGCGCGCCUACCAGCUGGAAGCGCGCCUGGGCGACGCGCAGCGGGCCGUGGCCGUGCGCCGGCAGCACGUGACCGAGACGGGACGGCUGGCCGACGCGCUGGACGAACUGCCGCACCAGGGCUUCGAGUACGAGCGCGUGAUGGGCGCCUGCUGCGAGAACGUGGUGGGCUACAUGCCGCUGCCGCUGGGCGUGGUGGGGCCGCUGCUGCUCGACGGCCGCCAGUACUACGUGCCGUUGGCCACCACCGAGGGAGCGCUGGUGGCGAGCACCAACCGCGGCUGUGUGGCCGUCAGAAAGUGUGGCGUCAACAGCUACAUCGUGGGUGACGGGAUGACGCGGGCGCCCGUCAUCGAGUGCCAGUCCGCCAGACAGGCCAGUGAUAUCCUGUACUGGCUGGAGACGACCGACGGCUUCCACGCUGUGAAGGCGGCCUUCGACUCGACGUCGCGGUUCGCCCGGCUCAGCAAGGUCGAGGUGAACAUGUUCGGUCGGCAGCUGUUUGUGCGCUUCGUGGCCAAGACUGGUGACGCCAUGGGCAUGAACAUGGUCUCCAAGGGUACGGAGAAGGCUCUGGAACACCUUCAGGAGACGUUCCCCGGCAUCUUUGUCACGAGCGUCAGCAGCAACGUGUGCACGGACAAAAAGCCGUCAGCCAUCAACUGGACGCGCGGCCGCGGCAAGUCGGUCAUCUGCGAGGCCGUCGUCCCGGCGGAGGUGGUGACCAGCGUGCUCAAGACGUCGGUGCCGGCCAUGGUGAACCUGUGCAUCAGGAAGAACCUGAUCGGCUCGGCGGUGGCCGGCAGCAUCGGCGGCAACAACGCGCACGCGGCCAACAUCGUCACGGCCAUCUACAUCGCCACCGGACAGGACCCGGCCCAGAACGUGUGCAGCAGCAACUGUAUGACGCUGCUGGAGCCGUGGGGAGAGACGGGCGAGGACCUCUACGUCACGUGCACAAUGCCCUGUGUCGAGGUGGGCACCGUGGGCGGCGGCACCAUCCUCAAGGCGCAGAGGGCCUGCCUCAAGAUGCUCGGCUGCCAGGGCGCCAACACGGACUGCCCCGGCCAGAACGCCCGCCAGCUGGCCAGUAUCGUCUGUGCCACGGUGCUGGCCGGUGAACUGUCCCUGAUGGCCGCGCAGAGCGCCGGACACCUGGUCAAGAGCCACAUGACACUCAACAGGAACGCGACUCCGCGCACCAGUCGCCAGGAGGCGCUCAACCGCUAGCCGAACGAUGCACCAUUGGCUAGCCGAAUACUGUGCGCCGGCCAAACGGGUGUCCAUCUCCCUCCCAGCGGAAGGAGCGCCCUUUCUGAUCGCAGCCGCCGGGCCCCGGUAAGACCUCUGCACCUACCGACGACCGCGGAACGGAUCGCCAAUGACGGGCUUCCAGCACCUGUGUUCAGCGCAGGGGCACGGCGACGACCGGCCGUCCCUCUGAUGGACGGAGUCUCGGGUCGAUGGGGGGCGAGGAGCAGACUCCACUGUGCCUGCAGGACGCCCCAGGCCGAGCAGGUGCGUGUCAGUGUCAGGGAACGACCAUGACCCAGCGGGUGUAAACGCUGGACGGACGGUGACUACUCGCCGGUGUGUGCCCGUGAGAGUUCCGGGUGUACGUCACAGACUCUGUGUGAGAGCACGAGUGAAGAACGGGUUUUAGCGGAGAGAGAGGACUCCGGGGAGAAUGUGUUUGCCAGAGUCUGGCCAGGGAGUGCGCUGUGUGUGUGUGUGCGUGUGCGUGCGUGCGCGCCUGACCGCUGGCCGGCGGGCGGUGCGCGCGCCUCGUCAGCCUUCCUCUGCCUGUCUGUUACUGUGGGGAGGCCGCCAGUGCCUGUGUAACCGCCGGUCAGGUCAGGUCAGGUCGUGUCGGCCGUGGCGGCGGGGCGGGUCCCUUGGAGCACCGGCCGGCGGCAGUAGUGGCGCCUGCUCAGGCUCGGGAGUGUCUUUCAUCCCGUUAGUUCCAAAGCGGUAUGUGUGAGAUGAUCGAGAUCCAGGUCGUAAGUAGAGAUAUUUCUUAGUCUUAGCGUUCGUAGCUUUAUUUUCGUGAUUUUCGUGGGUUUGGUGUAUACUGUACCGGUAUGGCUGCCUUCCUCAAUGUACGGUUUUCACGUAAGAUAUUAGAGGAUGUUGGCUGGCUUAUUGAGCAGACCUAGUUUUGAUGUAUGUUUUAUUGUUAAGGGUAGUGCGCCAUUUUACAUGUGAGAUGUGAUGGAAACCACACCGCGCAGCUAUGCUGUUAUUUAUUUAUUUAUCACGGAUUUUGACAUUUCUGAAGGGGCGCUCACUGUUUUAUAUUUAUCUGCGACCUCGCUGUUUGGACGUUUUAUUACAACUGAUUUUCCACGAGCUGAAUUUGAAAAUAAGAAUUCUGUUUUGACUGUUAUGCACUAAUGUCAGGUAAGGUCGAUCAAAUGCUAAGUUAUUGACGAUAAUUUUUUAGUCUGAUUAGUUAAUCUAAUUAAUGUGUGAAGCUCUCUGCGUCUCAAUGCGUAAGUGCGUACAACCAUUAAAGUUAGUGCAUACUCUUAUGUUUGCGAGAAUACGAACAACGCUAUUCGAAUGCGAGAAUACGACCGAUGUCUUGUGCUCUCCGCUGUGCCCCGGUGUCACACAGCUGUGUCUGUCCGGUGUAACAUCAUGUCGACCCGGUGUGUCCUGAGACACUGUGUCGGCCCGCUGUGUCCCGGUGACACUGUGUCGGCCCGCUGUGUCCCGGUGACACUGUGUCGGCCCGCUGUGCCCCGGUAACACUGUGUCGACCCCGGUGUAGCACCAUGUCGGCCCGCUGUGUCCGGUCACAGAGCAGGUACCGGCCCCGCUGUGUCCGGUCACAGAGCAGGUACCGGCCCCGCUGUGUCCGGUCACAGAGCAGGUACCGGCCCCGCUGUGCCCGGUCGCCCGCCGCGCUGACACCGUCCGUGCCGAGAUCUGACCCCAGUGCCGGUGAGAGUGUGAGAGGGUCGCCACGCGAAUCUGUUUCAGUCUUUGACACACAGUCGAGACUAUGCGGCUGCGGCCAGCAGUCAACACUGGAUCUGUAUUUAUUUUGGCAUAACUUAAUACACAGCCACUGAUGCUAUGCUAUAA